UAUUUAUUGAUCUCACCAUGGAAUCUAGUAUAACGGUGGUUAAUCAGACAGUAUGCUUCCUACACUUUCGACUUUCGAUCAUAAAUAGACACAGCUGCCAUGGAAACUCACAAUUGAAGAAUUACCAACAAGAAGGUGGAAAAGCAGAGAACAAGGCCAUUUCUCUCCUCUUCAAAAUCCUGGAGGCUGGCCUUGCCCACUUUCAAAUGGGUUUCCAAACAACAGACGGUGUUCCACUCAGUGGUAUCCUGGAAAUGUUCAACAGCUGGCUCCCUGGGAAAACAAAACAAAACAGCAAACAAGUCUUGACAUGCAGCACUUGCCAGUUCCCGUGGUGUCAUAUUCCCAUGUUGGCUAAUUUUAAGCUUCGGGUCUGACCUCAUUGAGCCGGGAAGAGAUGUGCUUAGCAAGCUUCUGCUGCAGGAUAGCUGUUUCACAUGAGGAAUACAGCAAUUAACAGCAUAGUGACCCUGGAAAGGAAUGAACAUUGGGAUCUUAGAUAUGGUCUCCUGAGAUUCAUGGUCCUUCAAGAUCCCCAAGUGCUGUGAACAGAUGAACAUGGAGGAUGAUUUCUUUCUAACAAAAGGACCACAAUUAUUACCCUCAUGCCUGCUCUGUUAUGCAGAGAACAAGCUUGAUAAGAGAUAUCCUCUUUCCCCCUUAUUUAUCUGGGAGUAUUGAAAAACUACAGCAUCCCAGAAGGAAAUCCUGCUAGAAAGCUCCACUUUCAACUGGUGACCAAUGAGCUGUAUCACCAGGGGUCACCAGUGGCCAGCAUCUAGAGGAGGUUCCAUUUUGCUCUCAUGGCAUCCAGUCCAUCAGGUACUAAAGAUACUGGAGAAAAAUCUUCCUUGUGGAAGUAAAGCUUUUGGCCUUAAAACCUUGAAGACAAACUAAAACAACUUGGUUUGACUUGGAUGUGCUUCUUUUCAUAAUAAUGAUCAUAAGGGCUGAAACUUUGGUGCAGUGUAUUCUCCUAUAGCCUGUAGCCAGGACACUGGAAUCAGUCAUAUGAAUGUAUGUGCUGGAAGUAUUGUGAGCAUGUAGUAUGGGGGCCACCAGAGGAAAGGAAACUGAGAGCUGUGAAGACUUCUUAUUAGGCAGUCACUGCACCUGCCUGGUUACUUGAUUCCUACGGAUAGGAAACAAUCGAAGAUCACAGUCCCAUGAGGACACAUCUCUUGGGAAAUUCAACACUACUAAGGAAUGAUAUCACUUUUUUUUUUGGUACUGGGGAUGGAACCCAGGACCUUGUGCUUGCGAAGCAGGUGCCGGAACCACUGAGCUAAAUCCCCGGCCCAAUAUCACUUUUUAAAAUCAUACCUGGAUUAAAUCCCCAGUGCUAACUGGGUGAUAAUGGCACCCAUCAAAUGGGGCAGUCAGGAGGACAAAUGAGAUACUGUGUCUAAAGUGCUCAGUCAGUGCUCUACAGAAAGUUCCCCAUGUGUGUGUUAGCUAUCACAGUUGUCAGUAGGAAUUUUCAGUUAUGUUUUUUUUCUCCCAAGAUGAAUCAGUCAUUUAUAGCAAACAUGUGGUAGACUGUAUUUUCAGAAAUGACUAUAGCAGUACUUCUAUACCUACCUGCUAUUCUGGACACCCGGCCAGAGAAGCCAUGUGGAGAUGACAGUGGGGUAGAAAGGGAAUGUGCAGAGAUGCCCUCUUUGAAGAGGCGCUUUUACACCGAGGCCUGCAGGAGGAAAAGAGCUACAAUGUGAAUGGUGUGAAGGGACAGCCCUGGUAGGGACUAAUGUAUUCAAAGAUCCUUACACACAGAAGGGACAUCACGUUUUAGCUCAAUGCCAGAGUUGUGUUAAGCAAUUCUUUUGUAACUGGUGGAAAUUUUUGAUAUGAAGGCCUAGAAAAACAUUAAGAAAACAUGAAGAAAUCUGUUAUCUUUUCAACAAUUAAGGCAUGAGACUUUUUUUUUUUAUCAUCUCCUUCGGGUUUCCUUUUCCUCUGUUCCUCCUUCUCAGUAUUUUUACAUCUGUGAUGUGUAUGGCUACUAGAAGGGGUAUUUUUUAAAAUUUGUUUUAAGUCUCAGUUUUUUUAAAGUAAUAUGCCAGAUACUGGAGAAAACAAAACAAAAUACUGUUGUUUUCAGUACAUUCAAGAAAAACAUACCAUUGACUAAGAUGUUUCUAUAAAGUAAUAUUUAAAUAAUAUAUGAUUCACUAAGAUCCAAACCAUACAGCAUCCUUUUAGAAUUGGUUCAUACAUUCACUACACAUCUGUUAUAUUUCUACAGUGUGGCCAGCCUGGUGCUUAGCACUAGAAAGUAUCUCUGCUCUCUUGAGAUGUUUACAAUGUAGAAUUAAGACCAUGAUAAAAUAUGGGCAAGUAAACAAACAGCAAUUAUAUAGUUAUAAUAUUAUAAAAGUUAUAAGGGGAAGGUACUGGUGCUGAAGCAUCUGAUAUGGAUUUGGGACAAGAUCAGGGAUUAUUUUAAUGUGAAUACUACUUUUGGAUAUAAUAAUUUCAGUGAAAAUUUUUAUUUUGUAGCUUGUCCAUGAUCAUAUUUAAUCUUAAAGAAUUGUGAAAAGUAAUACAAAUAACAUUUGGUUGAUCUGCUGUUUGGAGAUUUUCUAUGAGAAGGUGCUCAGCACAAAGUUUUUAAAGUAUGCUUUAAUUAUUAGUUUUAUUUAUUUCUUCUGUUUUUCUUUGUAGAUAUAAAAAGUUCAUUACGUUCGGCACUUAGGAUAUUGACAAAAACGCAAACACCACAAAAAGCCCUCUGGUGGGGUAGUAAUAGAGACUUUCAGGGGCAUAUUUUUGAAGAGAUUUUAAAAGCAGAGUGCACUCCUUGUAAGAAGAAUCUUGUUAUGAUAACUACCCCUUAUUCCAAAUGCCAAGACUGGGGCAUCAAUGAGUGUCUCUUUCUCAAACCAAAUAAAUCAUUAAGUAUUGCCGAAUCCAAGCACGUGAGCUAAUGCAGACAGAGUCAUCAAAUUCAUUACCAGUUAAUAUGUACUAAAUUUUCAUUGUGAGAUUGUAUUCAAUUACUUAAGAGAAUUUAUAAAAGUACUCAGAGAAGCAAAAGGAAAAAAUUAAAACAGAAAACUUACCUCAUUGAAUUCUUGAGACUAAAAACUCUAGAUGAGAAUGUGCUGGGCAGUCUUAAAAUAAUGAUAGAGAAACAGAAAACAAUCAUUGAGCAUUAGUAGAUUUAGAAGAGGCAGUAAUGGCAAUCUUGUCCAAAUAUUAUUACAGCUAAGAACACUGAGGCAAAGAACUUUAAUAACUCCAGUUUGGCAGGACUUCAGCCACAGCCACUGUCUCCUGACUAUACCAUGCCUUUCUACAAGACCAUACUCCCUCAUUUGUUCACAUGAGAUAGUGUAGACAACCCCAAAGGGAAACUUUAGCAAGCGAAGGUGCAUAUGCUUUUGUGAGUGAGGAAAAAAGAUAUUUUGAAGAUGGUUCCUUCCAAUAAGAGUCAGAGCAAUGUAUUUUCAAUCCCAAGGGUUAAAUGAAACUGCAAGGUGACAGGGUUUGGGGAAAAUGGGACAAGACCUGUGAGAAGUAGAGACAGUGGUCAUCUAUGAAUUACACAAGGUAUACUGAAACUAGGUAGAUAGUUACUUUCCAUAUGUUUGUUGUCUGUCUGGUUCAGUAUUUCCUCUUAACACACAGAAUGGCACCUGGUAUGUAGUAGCUGUUCAGUAAUAUUUACCUAAUACAUUAUUGGUAAUGGGAUUAAGAGCCCAGAUCAAAAGAGCAGAAAAUAAAGUCUCUAGGAGUUUGGAAAGAAAGUAAUCACUAUAGGCAUAAUCACUGGGGAACACUUCACUGAAAAUGAGUGUUUGAGAUGGUAAGAAUGGGAUCCCUGAGAAUAUGCAUAAAGUAGAAAGCAUUCAGGUUGGGGGCAGAAGGAGAACAGACAAAGGCAAAAGGGGGGCAUUAGUAAGGCAUGCUCCUGGAACAAUGAAAAGAUAAGUUGACUUUUAUUUCUUUUCACUUGGAACCCUAUGAAUUGUGUUAUUUAAAAAUUUAGUGAGGGGCUGGGGAUUUAGCUCAAUGGUUCUGGCACCUGCCUUGCAAGUGCAAGGUCCUGAGUUUGAUCCCUGGUCCCCAAAAUAAAUAAACAAACAAAUAAAUAAAUAAAUAAAUAAAUAAAUAAAUAAAUAUUUUUAAAAGGGCAGGGGAUUUAGCUCAAUGGUUCCACCACCUGCCUCACAACCACAAGGACCCGAGUUCAAUCCCCGUUACCAAAAAAUAAAAAAUUUAGUGAGAUUUUGUAGGGCCCUAAUUAGGUCUAGACUGGCCCUAAAGUGAGAAAUAGCCUCUGAAGCUCAGGGACUUUGCCACUGACAGUGAUUCCUUUGCACCUCACUGAAGCUGAUCUCCUAGGGCCAUGGCAUUCAGAGGAGAUAGGAGGCUAAGGAGGCCUGAGCCACCAGGAGGACCGAGUCUUCCUGUUCAGUGCUGGUCUCCUAUGCAGCCCAUCUCCUGAUGCCAUCUCUGAUCCCAUCUCAGUGCUGGGUCUUGUGCCACAGAUACACAAACUUGAAUAAAGAAAAAACUAUUAGAAAUUGGAGGAAUUUCUGAUAACCCCUGUGGAUUAGAUAGAAUACGAUUUCAAGAUAAAAUCAUAAGCGAUGGAAGAAAAGUUGAAAUAGUUUUGAAGAAGAUGAAGAUUUGGGGCAAUUUUUCUAAGAAUUAAAUGCUCUUAGACUGUAUGGUGAUAUCUGUUCACAUAUUCCUUAAAUGUUGCACAUUCCUGACACUAAGGUAUUUUUGACAAGGGUGAAAUGAUAGAAGGUGAGAAAACUGUCUUUAAAUAUUGUUUAUAUACUCCCUGGGUGCUUGUUAAGAACCUGUGUCAUCCACACUGGGAUCAGUACAAUUUAGAGUUAGAUCUCUAUCUUUAGAGAGAAUAACAGUUGUUUCCUGCUGUGGUUCCUUUUCCUUACCAUGUACAGGCCAUGGCUAUAUGGAAGCAAUGGAAAUAUCUCUAUUUAAAAACUCUAGACUGGUUUCAGAGCAAAAUUACUGUGACUGAGCUACAACUGGAUGCAUCCACUCAUUUAGCAGUUGCCUCCUGCCUUUGAAACAUCAAGUAUGACAUAAAUCAAGAUGUACAUUAACAAAGAUGAUAUAAAACAUCCAUGAAUGCUAAAUAAGGAGAAAUCACAUUAGUCAUCCAGCAAACAACGUGUAUGAUAAUUCAGAUAAAGGCAGAAGGUGUCUAGGAACUCAAAGAGACAAAAGAGCUGAAAUAGACUUUAAUCCCAGUAUAAACACUGUAUGAUAAUGUACUGAAGGAAAUUUCUUUCUCCCCCCACCCUUGCUUUCUUCCUCUCUUUCUUAGCAGAUAGGGAAUAUUUAGACAAGUGGAGUGAUGCUAUUUCUAUUAAGAUAGAUUCUUCUUGAAAAGGAAAAUAAUUUCUCCUUGAUGUACAUAAUUUCUAGCAAAUGUCUCUGAGUAUCCGAGAAGUCACACGCUGCCCUUGUAGGGCCCACUGGGACAAUUUGCUGUUUAUUUCGGGACACAAAUUCUACAUCUAAAAUUCUACACUAUGGUCAGUUUUAAAGAAAGAAGAGAACCCUUAAAUAUCUUAAUGGAAAUGGGAAUCUUUAUCUUAGACAUGGUCAUUGUAAGUACUUUUUGGCAAAUAACUUAUGUGCCAACUAUAUACUAUUCCUAGCUAAUGUAUUUCUACUAUAGCAGAAAAUAAUAACCAAAGAUGUUUGGGUAUGUGCAUCAUGGGGUAUUAAGAGAAAUUUCCCAAUUAUGCCUUUCUGGUCCCUGGACAAGGGCACCUGAGGUUGAUCAAGUGGCCUGGAAAUCACAGAUGCAGCGCUGUGGUGAUACAAAUCAGGCCUCUUUUCUUUGUCGUCAAACACCUUAAGCCCCCUUAUUCCAACAGGAAUUGUACUUGAAGUUGGCAGUUUGUUUCAUCUGUAUAAAAAUAAGAAUAUUUUCAUUAUUCUUGGUGUAUCCAUCUCUUCUUUUCCUUGCUCCCAUUAACAAUAAAAAUCCAUGCGGUUUUCAGCCAUUCUCAUUUUUCUUGCGAUAAACCAUGUGUGACAUGGAGACCUUGAAGCUGGGCAUUCUGGCCACGAUGCUCAAUAGACUGUGCAGAGAGCUUUCUCAGAGGUAACCACUGUAAAAAAUCAGCUCCACUGUUGUUCCUCUCUCUUAUGUUUUUCUCAUGCUCCUUUUUAUACAUCUAGUGUAAUGUGAGUUCACAUGAAUUCAGCCAAAGGCCUUUUGCCUGACAACAGAAAAAAUGUCUAUGGCUCUCACGGGUGCUGGAGUUGUCCUUUCUCUUAAUUCCAGCUGCUUCUUUUGCAAUAACAAAUUGGGGUACUUGCUAGAAGGAAAACGUUCUCACUGCAGAACUACUUUGUUCCUCUUUCAUGGAGUCUUUUCUUACAGGCUUCUGGAGCCGUUUGGAGGCCCUCGUCCCUAUGAGUUAUAAUUGAUGUAGUAAAAUGAAAAAAGAAUCAGAUGAAAAAGACUUGUUUCCACCAAUUGGUUUCAUAAAUAAAUAAGAACACAUCGUUUUAGUCUUUG
This is a long non-coding RNA of Heterocephalus glaber (naked mole-rat), 6517 nucleotides long. Lineage: Eukaryota; Metazoa; Chordata; Mammalia; Rodentia; Bathyergidae. The record is from Ensembl.